RNAcentral lists this unclassified non-coding RNA (312 nucleotides) under Hevea brasiliensis (rubber tree). Lineage: Eukaryota; Viridiplantae; Streptophyta; Magnoliopsida; Malpighiales; Euphorbiaceae. The record is from RNAcentral.
UGAUGCGGUUUGAGCCCCGCUGAUCAACUCUCUCUGCAAGUUCACCGAUCGAGCUACGAUUGUGUUCACUCUUAAGGCUCUGUUGCGUGUUCUGGAAGAGUAUUUUUAUGAGAGGAAUUGACUUUUGAGCUUUGGCUGGUGCUUUCCCUCAAGAAACUCCGAAGGUCCUCUUGCAAACGACGGAAGAAGUUGAGUGACACUGCUUAUCUGCUCUCGUUCUUCCAAGCCUUCUAUUAGCUCUAGUUUUUUUCUUUGGGUAUUGUGGACCUAUAGGCUUUAUGAUUUUUUAGGGCUUUUGGGCUCUAUCUCGUA